AGAGUUUGAUCCUGGCUCAGAUUGAACGCUGGCGGCAGGCCUAACACAUGCAAGUCGAGCGGAUGAAGGGAGCUUGCUCCCUGAUUUAGCGGCGGACGGGUGAGUAAUGCCUAGGAAUCUGCCUGGUAGUGGGGGAUAACGUUCCGAAAGGAACGCUAAUACCGCAUACGUCCUACGGGAGAAAGCAGGGGAUCUUCGGGCCUUGCGCUAUCAGAUGAGCCUAGGUCGGAUUAGCUAGUUGGUGAGGUAAUGGCUCACCAAGGCGACGAUCCGUAACUGGUCUGAGAGGAUGAUCAGUCACACUGGAACUGAGACACGGUCCAGACUCCUACGGGAGGCAGCAGUGGGGAAUAUUGGACAAUGGGCGAAAGCCUGAUCCAGCCAUGCCGCGUGUGUGAAGAAGGUCUUCGGAUUG
Molecule: ribosomal RNA, 415 nt
Filed under: uncultured bacterium
Lineage: Bacteria
Description: bacterial SSU rRNA
Rfam family: Bacterial small subunit ribosomal RNA
Source: RNAcentral